This 253-nucleotide ribosomal RNA is filed under the name uncultured bacterium. RNAcentral describes it as "partial 16S ribosomal RNA". It matches the Rfam family "Bacterial small subunit ribosomal RNA", at positions 524 to 776 of the family's 1533-position model. The record is from RNAcentral.
UACGUAGGGGGCAAGCGUUGUCCGGAAUCAUUGGGCGUAAAGAGCGCGUCGGCGGCCCUGUAAGUCCGCUGUGAAAGUCAAGGGCUCAACCCUUGAAUGCCGGUGGAUACUGCAGGGCUAGAGUCCGGAAGAGGCGAGUGGAAUUCCUGGUGUAGCGGUGAAAUGCGCAGAUAUCAGGAGGAACACCGAUGGCGAAGGCAGCUCGCUGGGACGGUACUGACGCUGAGGCGCGAAAGCGUGGGGAGCAAACAGG